This 4009-nucleotide small RNA is filed under the name Pongo abelii (Sumatran orangutan). Its description in RNAcentral is "sense intronic". Lineage: Eukaryota; Metazoa; Chordata; Mammalia; Primates; Hominidae. The record is from RNAcentral.
UACUAACUGGAACAUGUGCUGUUAAAAGGAUGAGGUGCUGUGCGGAGAGAAGGCUAGGAUGGCCCAGUGCCUUGAAAUUCACUGGUCCAUUUGGAGGAUGUCAGUGGAAUGGUUGUCUACAUGCUCUAGCCCCUGGUGGCGGUCAGCCACGGGAAGGAGAGUCAGGCGUGUGGUGAACUUGCCAGAGAAGCAGGCCUGGCCUAGGCUUCACCUGUAGGUGUGAAGUUCAGUUGGGCGGAUACCAGGUGCCUGGGGGAUGAGGGUCUGGUCAUAGCUGCAGUGGGAGGUAAAUCUGAAACUUUUUGGCCUAAAUGUCUUCUGUGAUCAAUCCAGGUGAGCCCUUUCUGGUGUGAUCUUUUGUUGCAUGGCUGAUAGUAAGAGAUGGGCUCCCUGGCUCUGAAGCAGCGAUGCCUUGUUCAUAAUAGGGUGUCCCAAGAAGACUCCUGGAAUAGAGUUUGUGGUGCCUGCAGAAACAAAGCCUGCUAGCUGAUUUUACUGACACUUUCUGGACCUUGGAUGUACUCUUGUUUUCAACCAGGGGUUUCUCACUCCUGGCCUCUUCCAGUCCUGUUCUUUCCCAUCCUAGAUGCCUAAGUGUUCUGAAACUGAACCUAUACUGUGGCUAGUAUCCCCAAAGGGCUAUAAAGCAGCCACUUGAACGUGCUCACUGCUUUGAAUGGUCCAUCUCAGGGAGUUGAAUAUUAUAGUGGGAACCCAAAUGGUCAUUAUAGCGUAGUUUAUUUACUGUGAUUAGACAUUUAGCCAACUCCUCUAAGAAAACCCCAGUAUUUAAGCAUAUUCCUGGCCAAAUAUUCACGAUAACAAUAUUGUGUGUAGUAUGUACUUAACAUCAAAAGUCCUGAAGAUGGGCCGGGCAUGGUGGCUCACACCUGUAAUCCCAGCACUUUGGGAGGCCAAGGCAGGUGGAUCACCUAAGGUCAGGAGUUUGAGACCAGCCUGGCCAACAUGGUGGAACCCUGUCUCUAGUAAUAAUACAAAAAUUAGCUGGGUGUGGUGGUGCCUGCCUGUAAUCCCAGCUACUCGGGAGGCUGAGACAGGAGAAUCGCUUGAACCCAGGAGGCGGAGAUUGCAGUGAGCUGAGAUCGCACCAUUACAUUCCAGCCUGGGGAACAAGAGCGAAACUUCAUCUCCAAAAAAAAAAAAAAAAGUCCUGAAGAUAAAGAUAACCUCAGGGAAUGUCUCAUCUGCCAUCCUCUUGGAUGUGGCAUCAGUGGAAUUAGAUUGCACCUAUGCCUGCAAUGGAGAGGGUGCUGGCUGCAGCCUCUGCCCCUGAAGCUGUUGCAGCUCACUGUUUCUAACAUUACGAGCGUCACGUAAUUUAAAUUUUUUCUUACGCUGGGUGCAGUGGUUCAUGCCUGUAAUCCCACUCACCACUUUUGGGAAGCCAAGUUGGGAGGAUCUCUUAAGGCCAGUAGUGCAAGACCAGCCUGGGCAACAUAGGGAGAUCCCCAUCUGUACAAAAAAUAAAGAAAUUAGCCGGGCACCGUGGUACACGCCCGUAGUCCCAGCUACUCAGGAGGUUGAGGUGGGAGAUUGCACUGAGCUGUGAUUGUGCCACUGCACUCCAGCCUGGGCAACAGAGCGAGACCCUAUCUCAAAAAUAAAAAAAUAAAAAGUGAAUUUUUCUUGAGGGGGAAGGGACCAUCAUGGUGGCCGUAUUGCUUUACUUUCUGACGGUGUCGUCUUCAGAGAUUAUUGAGAUUGGGUUGUUGGUUCCCACGUGGCCAUGUCCUGUCAGUGUUGCUUCUGUGUGUUCCCUCGCUGUCACCUGUUGCUCCUAAGUGCUGAUGUGUUGCACCUUUUUCAAGCAGCCUCUGAUUGGUUUCUCCCCCACCCCGCCCGUGCCUUAGCGGUGCUGCUGGUGGUCUGCUCUGUGGGGCUGUGUUGAGAGGGAAGCUCUGAGGGAGAGGCUUUGCAUGCGUGCCUCGGUGCACGGUGCCAACCUGGAUCCCUGUGGCUGUGGAUUGGGCGCUUGCUGUUUGCCAGGCUCCAUCCUGAGAGCCACGCUUGGUGGACUGGCUACUUCAAUCCUUGCACCAACCCUCGGAAGUCAAUAUGGUGACUGUCCCCACUUUACAGAUAGGGACACAGGUUUGGAAAGGUCACAUCACUUGUGUCGCACGGCUAGUGAUGGGGGCCUGCCCUCCCGAGGGUCUGACUCUAGGGCCAGCAUUUGGCAUCACUACAGGAAGUUGACACUUUCACUAUUAUGUUUAUUCCUCUAACUUACUUCAUUUCCGCCCCCUACCCCCAGCCCAGUUUUACUGACACUUGCACUUGUCUGUGCAAGCAUUUUCUCUCCUGUUGCAUAAAGUUGUUUUUUUUAGUGGAGGGUAGUAGUUGCUCAGAAGCACUGGAAGACAGCAGUGGUCAGAGCCUGGUCAGCAGUGAAGGUCAGUGCCAUUGCCGGCCUCCGACCCUAGUGGUGAGUAGGUCGCUGCUGGACAGGAGGGCAAGGAGGGGCUAGGAAGGCAGAAAUGAGUUGUUGCUCAUGAGUACAAGCAAGAUGCUAGUGUUCUCUCUGAAGUCAAUAAAUCUGUUAAGAUGCCCUUUUAACCCUGUUUUAUGGGAUUACAGGACUAGGAAGUAUGUCUUUAGCCUACCUAGGGCUCUCGAUUUCAGACUCCCUGCUGUUUCUACAGGCAGUGUCUGGAACAGGGAUUCUGGGUGUGUUGGAGGCUGACUGUAGGCAAACCCUACCCCAGAGGUCCCAUGUGGUUGGCCCCUGGUGGGAUGUCUUGGCACCUGGAGGUCUGGAAGCCCCCGUGAGUGGGCAGUUAGGGCCGGUGUUCCUAGAGGAGGCUGUGCUGCCCUGUGGCUAUUUGUGAAAGAGAUUUGCAUCUGAUCACUCUGGGAGCUUGUCUAGUUAAGCACUGGGUUCCCUUUGCUGAGAUUUUGAGCAGUAAUCUUUUUUCUCUCUCUCUUUAAUGAGUAGAGCUCUAGGUUAAGAAAUAUGAAAAGGAAUGUUUUUACAUGGAAAAUGUUUUUUUGGUUAGCAUUGGCUUUCGCUUGGCCUAAGUCAGCAAAUAGCUUUCACUCUUGAACUAUCUAUCUUCUUCUUCUGGUUUUUAGAGACACGUAAUGACUAUUUUAGUAAAAUGCUUACAAAUCUAUUUUGUUUUUAUGCUUUAUGUUUUUUACGUUAACUUAGAAGUAUUUAACAGAUGUUACCCCUUCCUGUAUAGAGGUAGGUUAAUUGGAAAACAAAUUGAAAACACUAUUUUUUCAGUCAUGUUUACUAUAUUUUGUUUGUGGGGGUAGACACUUUGGAGUUCAUGUUAGCCCCUGAUGUGCCCGGCCCUCGAGAUAUGUGUGGAAGGAAAUUGUGUUUAUGGUUUUAGAAGCUUGCUUUUUCUAUACUUUUCAUAUCAUUCAUAUCUUGUAGGGAGGUAUUUCUAUUUAGACUUAAUAUCUGUAACUUUUUUAAAUUCUAAAAAAGUUUGUUCCUCACAGAAAAAUUGGAAAACAGAAAAAUAAAAUAAAAAUUACCCAAAGAUAAAUGCUAUUAAUAUUCCAGUGUACCUUUGUCUUUUGUCAGUGCCCGUUUGCACACAACUGACGUGCGUUCUGCCCGUUUUCACAUUGUCUGUGAGCAUCCUUCAUGCCUUUUAAGACUGCAUCAUGUUCAGUCAUCGGGACACACACAUUUAGUGACCAUUUCAAUAGUAAUCUGUUGCAGCGAUGUUUAUGUUGUUUGUUUUUCUUUUUGCUGAAGCUGAGAUAAAUCUCCUUACACACAAACCUUUGACUACAUCGCUGAUUGACUGUAUCCUAACAGCAGACUCCUCCCAGUGGGAUUAGUGGGUGAAAAGCUCAUUUCACAGAUGGAAAAAAAGUUCAUCACAUCCUGCCUCGUUGCUGUCCAUGCAGUUGCCCCAGUUUACACUCAGCUGAGGACCAGGCCACCCCCCUGCAGCUUUAUGAGCAUUUGACUCCUGAGAACAUUUUAACUGUAGUCCAAGUAAUUAAAUAAUUAUUCAAGCUGUCA